This 278-nucleotide long non-coding RNA is filed under the name Ornithorhynchus anatinus (platypus). RNAcentral's name for it is "lncRNA (ENSOANG00000043786.1)". The record is from RNAcentral. Lineage: Eukaryota; Metazoa; Chordata; Mammalia; Monotremata; Ornithorhynchidae.
CUGUGGGGAGGUGAGCUCAUCCCAUCCUGUCCCUAUAACUGCUGCCCUUUCUGGGCCCUUUCAGCCUUAGAGAAACACAAGGUCAUCAUGGCACAACACAGUGGAAGCAGGGACUGGCCCAAGCCGGGCCCUACCAGGAAGAGACAAGACAAGAUCCCUGUUACCCAAGGCUGAGGGAGAGCAGACUGAACCAGCAGCACCUGUGAAGUUUCAGUGGGAGGGAAGAAACCCCUGGAUGUUACAGGUGUGAACAGCAUCUGAGUGGAAGGACUCCUAGA